CCUACGGGUGGCAGCAGUGGGGAAUAUUGGGCAAUGGGCGCAAGCCUGACCCAGCAACGCCGCGUGAAGGAAGAAGGCUUUCGGGUUGUAAACUUCUUUUCUCAGGGACGAAGCAAGUGACGGUACCUGAGGAAUAAGCCACGGCUAACUACGUGCCAGCAGCCGCGGCAAUACGUAGGUGGCAAGCGUUAUCCGGAUUUACUGGGUGUAAAGGGCGUGUAGGCGGGAAAGCAAGUCAGAUGUGAAAACCAUGGGCUCAACCUGUGGCCUGCAUUUGAAACUGUUUUUCUUGAGUACUGGGGAGGCAGGCGGAAUUCGUAGUGUAGCGGUGAGAUGCGUAGAUAUUAGGAGGAACCCCAGUUGCGAAGGCGGUCUGCUGGACAGCAACUGACGCUGAGGCGCGAAAGCGUGGGGAGCGAACAGGAUUAGAUACCCUUGUAGUC
This 443-nucleotide ribosomal RNA is filed under the name uncultured bacterium. RNAcentral describes it as "partial 16S ribosomal RNA". It matches the Rfam family "Bacterial small subunit ribosomal RNA", at positions 338 to 795 of the family's 1533-position model. The record is from RNAcentral.